CAAACGGCUGAGACCGGUUAAUGGACUACAGCUGCCAGCAUGCGCAGCGAGGGGCUCCACCUGCCGCCGCGCCACUCCGUGCGCCGAGGGCGGUUCCAGCACGCCCCGCGGAGGCCGGAUGACCCCCAAGUCACGCCCACGUGACCCAGCGAGGCCCGGCGGGCCCAGAGCGGCGGGAUUCGUUUUGAUAUCGUGGUCCUGCGUCUCCGCGAGACGCCGCUGGGGCGACUUGUCGUGGCGGAAGUUGGACUUCUCGCAGACAACUGCAAGGAUCCUCCCUCUGGACCGGGUGGUCAGGCUCGCUCCAGAGCUGGCUUUGGACUCCGGCUGGCUGAACGGUCCACUCCUUGGUCAGACCUCUUGGAAGGACUGCCCCAGCCAUGUUAUAAAAGGAGGAAACGUCACAGUGGGCAGCCCCCAUUCCUGCGUUAGACAGACAGGAAACAGGCGCACAGCUCAAGACAAUAGACUUGCCUCCUGCUGCGCCCACCAAGAUAGCAGACCCACUACCUGCUGUGUCCAUCAAGUGCUGUGCCGACAGGGCAAUCUUGUGACUAUUGUAAAAGGGACAUUUCAAUCAUAUGUGAAACAUCCUGUUUGGGGUUCUGCAUUGCUACCUGCUUGUCAAAUGAGUAUUGGCCACCCCAGUUCUGUGCAGAGAGGAUGCAAAACAGCAGAGUAUCUGUGGUGCAACUUUCUGGAGCAUCAAUUUUACUACAACGUUUGGAAGAAACAAAGUUAAGUAGUUUCCAAGCCAUUCUUCACUCAGCAUGCAGAGUGACCUCUUGAAAGCAUGAAGAGCAAGGAUAUGCACCACCCACCUCCCCAUUCAAAUUCUGCCACUGCUUCUCAUUGUGAGAGAAUAAGAGCUUAGACAACCUGGCCCCUGCCUGCUCCUUCAGCCUCCUCUCCUACCUUCUUGUUGAGACUUACAUGUGAGAUGUUCUGGUAUCUAGAACUGAAAGCAAUCUUAACUCACAAAUAGAUAUCAGAUCAUCGAAUCUAGAGCAAAGGGCAUAGAAGGAAAAGUUGAAGGGAGAAUGAAAGGUGAGAAUUUUUUAAGCGCCAGAAACUAUGAACACAUAACAGAUCUGUAUGAAUAUGCUCAAAAGAAUGUGGUAACAAAGUUAAAAAAAAGUGUGUCAACAGACUUGCAAAGAAGUAGAAAUACUUUUGACCAUAAUUUGCAAACAAAAACUACACUUAGUACACAUUACAUUUCCGGACGUAAUGCAAUAAAAUUAGAAAUAACAGAAAUAGAGAACUUCAAAAUGUUCAGCUUUUUGGAAAUGUUAAAAUAUUGUUGUAAAUAAGUUAAUUCUUGUGUGAGGGUUCAUAUCCACAAAACAAUUACAGUGCCUGUACACACACGAGCUUGCUGAUGCAUCCAGAUGUGUGCAGUGGUGGGGAAAGGACGAGCUCUCUGACCCAGAAGCUUCUGGAACAACAGGGCCUCUGCACACACGAGCUUGCUGAUACAUCCAGAUGUGUGCAGUGGUAGGAAAGGAUGAGCUCUCUGACCCAGAAGCUCCUGGAGUGACAGUGCCUGUGAACACAUGAGCUCGCUGAUGCGUCCAGAUGUGUAUAGUGGUAGGAAAGGAGCUCUCUGUCCAGAAGCUCUUGGAGCGCCAGUGCCUGUGCACACACGAGCUUGCUGAUGCAUCCAGAUGUGUGCAGUGGUGGGGAAAGGACGAGCUCUCUGACCCAGAAGCUCUUGGAGCGACAGUGCCUGUGCGCACACGUGCUUGCUGAUGCGUCCAGAUGUGUGCAGUGACGGGAAAGGAGCUCUCUGACCAGAAGCUCCUGGAACGACAGGGUCAGUGCACACACAAGCUUGCUGAUGCAUCCAGAUGUGUGCAGUGGUGGGAAGGACGAGCUCUCUGACCUAGAAGCUCCUGGAGUGACAGGGUGAUGUUCAUCGGAACCCCAGCAACCCCCUGUGUCAUUUACCAUAUUGUGACCAGUGGGAGCCGGGUGGAGGUGGCCGGGAACUGUAACUGUUACAGAUGCUGGUCAUAAACCCAAGGCCGCCUCCCUUGGUGCCUGCCCUUGACCCUGCUGUUGUUUCCUGCACUGGGGUUCCCGGAAGCCCCACCGCUGGACCUGUGCUGGUGGACAGGACCAGACUGCCCUCUGAUGGCAGCAGUUUGAAAACUGGCACCAGCAGCUGCCGUGGAAAAAAGUGAUGGCCCAGGAGACUGUGUGACCCUCCCACGGAGGGAUCAGGAUCCCAGCAGGGCUCCCGGGCAGGGCUCAGAGCCCGUCUGCUUCCUGCCCUUUCUCCUCUGCUGCUCUCCUCUGACUAUGGGAGUCGGGGAAGCAAACAGUCAUGAAAAAUGGCACUUCUAUUGGCUGUGUCUGUAUGUGGAAGUGCACAAAUGAAGGAAGAUUUUAAAGCAGAACACAGAACAAUUUGUGCUGUCUGAUUAAAAUCUGUCAGAUAUGUUCAUUAACAAGUUUGGAAGAGAAUUUGGAAAUGGCUGAAAUUUUUAAUAAAGUUCAUUCUUUUAGUUUGUUUGAAUUUAAAAAGAUACGUUUAGAAAUAAAUUUGGCCCAUAAAAAAAUUAAAUCUUAGCUAUCCAGAAAUUCAAGUAUCUAGAAUAAGGUACUUCCCAAAGGUCUGUGUAACUCAGAUUUUACUAUAGCUUGAAAACUACUAAUGUAUAAUGUAGCUGAUGAAAUAAUAC
Long non-coding RNA from Equus asinus (donkey), 2687 nucleotides. Lineage: Eukaryota; Metazoa; Chordata; Mammalia; Perissodactyla; Equidae. The record is from Ensembl.